GGUGGCUCAGUGGUAGAGCACUUGCCUUGCAUGCAUGAGACCCUGGGUUCGAUUCUUCAGGACCA
RNAcentral lists this transfer RNA (65 nucleotides) under Dipodomys ordii (Ord's kangaroo rat). It matches the Rfam family "tRNA". From Rfam's summary of the family: Transfer RNA (tRNA) molecules are approximately 80 nucleotides in length. The record is from Rfam by way of RNAcentral. Lineage: Eukaryota; Metazoa; Chordata; Mammalia; Rodentia; Heteromyidae.